CUACGGGGUGCAGCAGUGAGGAAUAUUGCACAAUGGGGGGAACCCUGAUGCAGCAACGCCGCGUGGAGGAUGACGCAUUUCGGUGUGUAAACUCCUUUUAUAUGUCAAGAAAAUGACGGCAGCAUACGAAUAAGCACCGGCUAACUCCGUGCCAGCAGCCGCGGUAAUACGGAGGGUGCAAGCGUUACUCGGAAUCACUGGGCGUAAAGGACGCGUAGGCGGGUUGGAAAGUCAGGUGUGAAAUCCUACAGCUUAACUGUAGAACUGCACUUGAAACUUCUAAUCUAGAGUAUGGGAGGGGGAGAUGGAAUUAGUGGUGUAGGGGUAAAAUCCGUAGAUAUCACUAGGAAUACCUAAAGCGAAGGCGAUCUCCUGGAACAUUACUGACGCUAAGGCGUGAAAGCGUGGGGAGCAAACAGGAUUAGAUACCCCGGUAGUC
This 439-nucleotide ribosomal RNA is filed under the name uncultured bacterium. RNAcentral's name for it is "partial 16S ribosomal RNA". It matches the Rfam family "Bacterial small subunit ribosomal RNA", at positions 339 to 795 of the family's 1533-position model. The record is from RNAcentral.